UGGGGAAUUUUGGACAAUGGGGGAAACCCUGAUCCAGCCAUCCCGCGUGUGCGAUGAAGGCCUUCGGGUUGUAAAGCACUUUUGGCAGGAAAGAAACGUCGCGGGUUAAUACCCCGCGAAACUGACGGUACCUGCAGAAUAAGCACCGGCUAACUACGUGCCAGCAGCCGCGGUAAUACGUAGGGUGCAAGCGUUAAUCGGAAUUACUGGGCGUAAAGCGUGCGCAGGCGGUUCGGAAAGAAAGAUGUGAAAUCCCAGAGCUUAACUUUGGAACUGCAUUUUUAACUACCGGGCUAGAGUGUGUCAGAGGGAGGUGGAAUUCCGCGUGUAGCAGUGAAAUGCGUAGAUAUGCGGAGGAACACCGAUGGCGAAGGCAGCCUCCUGGGAUAACACUGACGCUCAUGCACGAAAGCGUGGGGAGCAAACAGGAUUAGAUACCCUGGUAGUCCACGCCCUAAACGAUGUCAACUAGCUGUUGGGGGCCUUCGGGCCUUGGUAGCGCAGCUAACGCGUGAAGUUGACCGCCUGGGGAGUACGGUCGCAAGAUUAAAAACUCAAAGGAAUUGACGGGGGUCAUAGCUGUUUUCCU
Molecule: ribosomal RNA, 589 nt
Filed under: uncultured bacterium
Lineage: Bacteria
Description: partial 16S ribosomal RNA
Rfam family: Bacterial small subunit ribosomal RNA
Source: RNAcentral